AACGAACGCUGGCGGCAUGCCUAACACAUGCAAGUCGAACGAAGCCUUCGGGCUUAGUGGCGCACGGGUGCGUAACGCGUGGGAAUCUGCCCUUAGGUACGGAAUAACUCAUGGAAACGUGUGCUAAUACCGUAUGAUGUCUUCGGACCAAAGAUUUAUCGCCUAGGGAUGAGCCCGCGUUGGAUUAGCUAGUUGGUGAGGUAAAGGCUCACCAAGGCGACGAUCCAUAGCUGGUCUGAGAGGAUGAUCAGCCACACUGGGACUGAGACACGGGCCAGACACCUACGGGUGGCAGCAGUAGGGAAUAUUGGACAAUGGGCGAAAGCCUGAUCCAGCAACGCCGCGUGCGCGAUGAAGGCCUUCGGGUUGUAAAGCGCUUUUAGGGUAGAUGAGAAAGGACAGUAUCCUCUGAAUAAGCCUCGGCGAACUACGUGCCAGCAGCCGCGGUAAAACGUACUACUG
This 462-nucleotide ribosomal RNA is filed under the name uncultured bacterium. RNAcentral describes it as "bacterial SSU rRNA". It matches the Rfam family "Bacterial small subunit ribosomal RNA", at positions 29 to 534 of the family's 1533-position model. The record is from RNAcentral.